This 431-nucleotide ribosomal RNA is filed under the name uncultured bacterium. RNAcentral describes it as "bacterial SSU rRNA". It matches the Rfam family "Bacterial small subunit ribosomal RNA", at positions 917 to 1349 of the family's 1533-position model. The record is from RNAcentral.
GGGCCCGCACAAGCGGUGGAGCAUGUGGUUUAAUUCGAUGCAACGCGAAGAACCUUACCUACUCUUGACAUCCAGAGAACUUUCCAGAGAUGGAUUGGUGCCUUCGGGAACUCUGAGACAGGUGCUGCAUGGCUGUCGUCAGCUCGUGUUGUGAAAUGUUGGGUUAAGUCCCGCAACGAGCGCAACCCUUAUCCUUGUUUGCCAGCGAGUAAUGUCGGGAACUCCAGGGAGACUGCCGGUGAUAAACCGGAGGAAGGUGGGGACGACGUCAAGUCAUCAUGGCCCUUACGAGUAGGGCUACACACGUGCUACAAUGGCGCAUACAGAGGGCGGCCAACUUGCGAGAGUGAGCGAAUCCCAAAACCUAUCUCAGUUCGGAUCGGAGUCUGCAACUCGACUCCGUGAAGUUGGAAUCGCUAGUAAUCGCGGAU